Monodelphis domestica (gray short-tailed opossum) is the source of this 1728-nucleotide long non-coding RNA. RefSeq lists it as uncharacterized. The record is from RefSeq and is a predicted model, not a curated record. Lineage: Eukaryota; Metazoa; Chordata; Mammalia; Didelphimorphia; Didelphidae.
UCCACAAGAUGUGAGCAGCAGGUCUGGGCUCAAAAUGUUUGCUGGGGAGUUUGAACUCCAUCCAAAAUAAGGAAAGGGCACAAUAGGGAGAAUUGUGGGAAGUCGGACUUAGAUGAGGCUAGAUCACCCAGAUCAGGCAUCUCAGUGAAGUUCUAAAACCAAGUCAGAAGGAGCAAUGAUAAUGAAAACCAAGGAGAAACCUUUAUCUAACCCGGGGCCACCGGAACCGUCAGAAUUCUAGCAGAUGCCCGUGUGGAGACAAGUCGCCCUGUGUGGAAGGAAGGAGAAGCUUGCUAGCAGUGAGGACACCACUAGCGUGAGACAGUGACAUAGCAGUGCCUUUCUCAGGGUUAGAGUCACAUUGAUCCCAACUAGCCCUACCUGAGGCAAAGCGAGAGACAAGACCAGUCUAGUGCCAAAGUAGCCCGCACUCGAGCCACAGCAGGAAACAGGGGCCAGCUCCUGUGCAGCCCCAGCACCCAGGCAUUCCAGCACCUGGACAGUCCGGCACCCAGGCAGCCUAGCACUGGGAUCACUCAGCACCUGGACAGCCUAGCACUGGGAUCGCUCAGCACCUGGACAGCCUAGCACCAAGACCGCUCAGACCUGGACAGCCUAACAUCCAGGCAUUGCAGCACCCCAGAAAGCUUAGCACCUGGGCAGCCCAGUACCUAGACAGUCUAGCAGCCAGGCAGCCUACCACCCAGGAAGCUCAUCACUAAGACAGCCUAACACACCCAGGCAGCCAGUACUCUCCAGGCAGCCCAACACUGGGACAACUCAGCACCUAAGAAAGCUUAGCACCUAGGCAACCUAGCAUCUAGGCAGCCUAGAAACCUGGCAGCCUACCACCCAGGAAGCCCAUCAUUAAGGCAGCACAGCACCCAGGCAACCCACAGUCAGUCAUAGAAGGAACCACACCGGAAGAAAGAGCCAGGGACCACCUUGGAAGCAAAGCACAGUGGGGUCUUGCGGGAGACAAGACUACAGCAUGUGGUUGGGUCCUGUCAGGUUCCCCACAAGGGAUGAAAACAACUCCAUCUUUGGUGCUGUCCAAGAAGGAGACAGAAAGGGGCCCAGUCUGAAACCCAAGCUGAUCUAUCAAAAGAAAGCCAGAACUCUCAGUGACCAUAAGAGAAGCAACUCAACUGUUGGAGUUUAGAACCUCAGACAUGCUCAAGGCUGGCUGGUCAGAAUGGCUUACUGCAGUUCCAACUUCUACUCAUUCUCACAUCAUUGGACUUCUUGCAUUUCCCCCUUUCAUAUGGAAGCUCCUGCUCUCAUUUCUGCAUUGAAGAUUUAAGCCCUUUCCCCCUUAGACUGAGCUUUUCAUUGUCAUGUGCCAUUAUUUACCUGAUGCCAGCUAGAUAAAUAAAGUCCCAAGAGGAGGUUUCUAUCCACUAAUGCCCACUUCAACAACAGAACUGAGCGCACCAGCUUCUCUUCAAAAAUCAAAGACAGAAACAAAUCAAACAGACAAUGACAUUUUACCAACAAAAAAGGGACAAUUCAAUAUGGCCCGUUCUUUGAAGAUUUUAAAGGAAGGAAGGUUCUAAAUUCAAUGGAAACUACAAACAGGAUAAGCGAAAAAGGGGGAAAAUAAGCUGUUGAUGUCAACUGGUAUCAGGGUAUUGAAUAUUACAUUCAUCAAAGUUCCUGAGUUACAUUUGCCCGGCAUGAUCCUGACUCUACAGCCAUCUACAAUAGAGUCUUUGCUUUUCUCCCUGG